GGGAGCCACCACCCCUGCCAGCAAAAUGUCUUCUGCAAGGAGACCCUCUUCCAAUUGUUCCUUUCCAGAGCAUAGCUCUGACUGGUAGAGCCUCCGUCACAGUGCGCACCCUGACUGCAAAACAGACUAAAUGAAGACUUGGCCAUGCAAGCAAGGGGAGGUGAGACCUGAUACUGCCAGAGAAGGAAUAGGGCACUGUCAACUCGCUAACUGGGUCCUAGUAUUGGCUAUGUAACCCUAGACAAGUUACUUUACAUUUCUAGACCUCAGUUCAGCAGUUGGAACACGUGGACUUUGGAUUUUCUUCUUCCUGGAACUUCCUUUAUGCACUCAUGUUUGUUACUCACCCAUGUAUUUAUCCAUUGUCCAUGUCUGCUUGUCAGUUUUAGUUACCUCCUACCCCCACCUGUCCAAGGUGCUCUUGUCCUCAGAAGAUCCCACUGGCAUGAAUAAGACAGACUUGGAAACUUUUAUCCUAGAUAAAACUGGUCUGGAACACAUAAAAAGUAUUUCCCCAACAAUUUUGAUUCACUUCAAUUCCUGAAAUCUAACUUCUGACUUUCAAAGAAAAUUCCACUUUGGCAGCUGUACAGGUACCAACAACAGUUUACCCUUACCUGGAAGAAGAGCCUUGGAGGAGAAAACACACCAUGUCGUUUACUUUCAACUAGGGAAAAUUUCCUAGCAGCAGCAGAAAUAAGGCAAAGUCCCCUGCCAGCACCACUCCCAACUCAGGUCCCACAGCCCUGUCCUCCCCAGGUGCCUGAGCCCUGUCUCCCACCCUUCAUACAGUAGAAGUCCAGCUGUUAAUACCACUUAUGCCAGCAAGACUGCGCAGCAAAGCAGAAAUGACCCUCAGAAGCCACCUUCUCUGACCUGGACAAGAGGAUACUGCAUCCCCCGCCCACUUCCAUCCCCUUACUUCCAGCAAUAAUAGGGACCACCACACAACCUAGAAGAUGCUACCUGUCUUCAGAUUCAAGAUGGAAGAUAUUGUCAUAGUCUACUGGGGUCUCCUCCCUGAAUCUACAGCCCCUCCCAGCUUUUCACCCAGGAGACAACAUGGUUUAGACAGAGUGCCACGUUUUCAAACCUUCCACCUGUGAUCCAAAUAUGCCAUAUUUCCACCGGCUACCUUCUCUACCACACUGCCUUCUGCUGGCUAUAUGAGAUUCCUGCAAGAACACAGAACAUUCACAUCUCUGCCUCAAUGGAAUUCAAAAACUUCAUUAACGUUUCUAGGAGCAAACAUUGUUUAAAAAAAUUAACACAUGAAAACUGCUUAAAUCAAUGAAAAAUUUGCCAGAAUUCUUUACAGCACAACUCCACAUUCUUUGAUGAAGACAAUCACAUUGUCUGUUUGUAUUUUCUCCCUAAUAAUCUCCAUAAAUCCUAACAAAGCUCACCCCUUCCUCUGGACUUUGAACCUAUUCCAAGACCUAUGAUGUUUUUUUUUUCUCUCUCUGCUUCCCAAUCAAACAUAUGUAUCCCUGACUGGUCAUGUCUCUGCUCUUUGCUGGAGAUGUAAAAAAGUCAAGAGAGACAAAGUCACAGAGAGACAAAGGACAAAUGGAGGAAAGUGGAGACUGAAUGGUAAAUCCUUGGAAGGACCCUAGAGGCAAUCAGGGGCCACCCAAGAGUGACAAGGGGACCUGGUUCAAGUCAGAAGGUCUUCUUUUUCCCUCUGGUUGCCCAGUCUCAGUCUCUGAUUUCAGCUGCCUCCAGACCCACCUCUACAUGAGGCACCUAUCCAUUUCUGAUUAGGGACUCGCCAUGCAAGGAAGGUGAGGAGAGUACACAAAGGAGCCAUCAGUGUCAGGGCUGCAGGAGGGAUGAGCAUGUGACAGGCCCUGCAAGGUUCAUAGAUGUGUGAGUGCUCAGCAUCUGGGACCAGAAUUGUGAGCCUGGCUCUGCACAGAGCCCAGUCUGUUGGGGAUGGACCCCAGAGACAGUUAUUACUGCAGCAGUUCUCACACUACUUGGCCUUGAAAAUAAUUUACACACUUAAGAUUAUUAAGGACCCUAAGUAGAUUUUAUUCAUGUGAUUUACAUCUAUUGAUAUUUCUUGUAUUAAAAAUUAAAACUAGAAAAUAACACAUUUUACAUAAGUAGAUAUUGCACUAGCUGGCAGAGUGAUGAUGUCAUUGCAUAUCAUCUACUCUCCGGAAAAUUCUACCAUAGACUAAUGAAAAAAUAUGAGUAAAAAAGUCAAAUAAUGUCAGCAUUAUGAUUAAAAUUGUUUUGAUCUCACUGAAAAAAAAAAAAAAAA
Molecule: long non-coding RNA, 2269 nt
Filed under: Homo sapiens (human)
Lineage: Eukaryota; Metazoa; Chordata; Mammalia; Primates; Hominidae
Description: uncharacterized LOC101928009 (LOC101928009)
Source: RNAcentral